Molecule: transfer RNA, 76 nt
Filed under: Alphaproteobacteria bacterium
Lineage: Bacteria; Pseudomonadati; Pseudomonadota; Alphaproteobacteria
Description: tRNA-Ala
Rfam family: tRNA
About the family: Transfer RNA (tRNA) molecules are approximately 80 nucleotides in length.
Source: RNAcentral
GGGGCAUUAGCUCAGUUGGUAGAGCGCUUCCAUGGCAUGGAAGAGGUCAGCGGUUCGAAUCCGCUAUGCUCCACCA